UUCCUUUCAGGACAAAGCAGAACUUUUUUUUCUUUUUUGCACAGCUCAAUUAAACAUCCCCUAGGCAAGAGUGGUUCAGAUUAUUACCAUUAAAUGUAUCAUGCUGUAUGACUGGUUGUACAGGCAUAAUAACUUUUAGAUUUAUGCUCCAUACAGUGUUACUGAAUUUCACAAUACUUUGCUCUACAGUGAAGCUCAGAGCAUCCAAGCAACAUUCUCUUCACCUUUCCUGAAGACUUGGAUUUUGGGAAGCCCCAUGCUGGCCUGACACUUCUCACACAAAUCUCCAUUUCAUUUCCACUACACCUUUGUUCUUUCCCUAUGGGUAAAGAUGACAUCAUAAAGCUAACAUGGGCUAUGCUGCCAGAACUGACUACUUUUUGCUCUUUUAGCUUUUUUCUGUUUAUUUUGUCACUUACUCAUUUCGAGCAAAACUGUCUUUAAAACACCAAGAAAUGAUUCCUUUCCAACCCAGUCUUUAUUAUCAACCGAUCAGGCAGGAUUGUCUUAAAUAUCCCAUGCAUUCAGUUGGCUGGAUUGCUUUACUUAGAGCAUAAAUCUUAACACAUCAAUGCCUUAACAUAUAUGGGGCCUUGUUAGCCACAAUGCAUGUAGACGGAUUAACAGAACCUUGGCUACUUUGUCCUAUUUUCAAGCAUAAAUAGCAUGUUAGUAAAAGAAUAUGCAACCAAAUCACAAGAUAAGGUAUUUGCUCAAGAGUCAUGAUGUUGUCACCAGCUUAUUUGGAUAGAAUAUUAGCCCUGUCCUUAAACCAUAACUUCGUUAUCUUUUCACGUUCUAGUGUAUUGGCUUUGACACAGGGACAUUUGUCUUCUUUGACUUUAUUUACCCAUGGCUACAUGGAAAGUGGUUUGGACCAUAUCUCCCUUAGCCUUCCACACUUCCGUUUGCUACAGAAGAUUAAGUAAGGCUUUUCCAAUGGUUCAAUAACACACAGUAGCUUGGACAUUAUGUGAGGGCUCCUUGAAUUAUUGAACUAUUGCCAUGUGGAAAAUUUUCCCCUGCUACAUGUUCAGUGUUUGUACAGAAGGGUAUCGUGGCACAGCUAGGAACAGCUUAGGAAGCAGUGAAUCAACACUAUGCAACUAGUUUCCAGUGACACACGCCAUUGUCUUUCAAAGAAGGGCUGGCUCUCUGCAGCACCUUCUGUGGAUUUAGAUCUUCAUUGCUGAGUGAAUACUACAGGCAUGUGCUGAAGAGAGGGGAAUGAAGACUCCGUGGGGGUCACAGAACACCACAGAGAAGUUGAGCAAAUGAAUGACAAAUUAAAAUGGAAGGAAAGGGGAUUUCAUAUCAAAACCCAGGGAUUAUCUAUUCAGAUAAAACUACGUGACCAUGCAGCCAUGGCACAUCUCACAUAAGAUAGUGUUCUGAGUGGAACUGUACCUGCAUUUCAAAAGGUGAUUUCCAUUCUUUAAAGCUUCAUCUUAUCAGCUUAUGGAGGUUCUAGUUGAACUCCAUAUGAUCUCUCGGGCAUCUUUUUCUGGCCCCUUUCCCCUUUCUGAGUUUUCCUCUUGCAGUUUCUUGUAAUUAUUUGGGGUGUCAAGGUCUACCCUUUCAUUACUGCCAGAACUUGUCCUUGGCAUGUGAAGUUAGCUUUUGAUGUUGGUGUCCUUGAUGAAAGGAAAACAACCUUUCCUGGCAUUUCCUUUCCUCUCCUCUGAUCUGUAUUUCCAGCCCACAGAGGUCAGUGCACACGACCGCCCAUUCCAGCUUUGAAUGCAACUUCAAGACACAAUCCACGCUCUGUGUGAGGGCUUUAAUACAACCAACAUCAAUGUCUGCCAACCACAGCUACACUUGACACUGCUCACACUUCUAAUGUAGUAAGCCUAUUAAUUCUCAAAUCUGCUGAAUGUGCACACGGCCACCAAUUUGUCUAAAUUUGGGAGACAGUAUCUAAUGAAGAACCACCAAAUGCAUAAAAUAACCCCCAUUUUGUACGAAAAAAUUGGAAUCUGUUUUCUCCUCCUAACAUAUUCCAUUAAAACAACCACCAUAGGAUCCUAUCACUUACCCAUUUGUGCUACAUGAUAUCACUGUGCCUACACAAAGAUUUUAGAAAAUCUCAAUCUCUCUCUCUCUCUCUCUCUCUCUCUCUCCCUCUCUCUCUCUCUCUUAGGGCCAAUGAUCCAUCUUCAUAAAGGAACAGUUACAUAUUAUAAAAUAUGUAGUAUUUCAUAUAUAGUAAAGUAUGAUAAUACAUUAAUUCCCUUUAGCUGAGCCUUCCUGAUGAGUUUUCUUGCUUAAUUUUAAUCCAAGUGGAGUUUUGUGAUAUGAGUUUGUGACCAAAUGUUUUCAAUAGUAGUAUUUUUAAAAGAACAAGAUGACUUUGGCCUAGAAGAUUCAAAGAUACACAUUUAAAAGCUAGCUAUAUUUUUGUGAAAAUAAAACAAAACCUUAUAAUUUGCCUACUAAUUACGUUUCC
RNAcentral lists this long non-coding RNA (2449 nucleotides) under Mus musculus (house mouse). Its description in RNAcentral is "long non-coding RNA chr8:45553091-45555540". Lineage: Eukaryota; Metazoa; Chordata; Mammalia; Rodentia; Muridae. The record is from RNAcentral.